RNAcentral lists this ribosomal RNA (788 nucleotides) under uncultured bacterium. Its description in RNAcentral is "bacterial SSU rRNA". It matches the Rfam family "Bacterial small subunit ribosomal RNA", at positions 97 to 886 of the family's 1533-position model. The record is from RNAcentral.
GGCGUACGGGUGCGUAACGCGUAUGGAACCUGCCCUUAUCUGGGGGAUAACUCCGGGAAACUCGAGCCUAAUACCGCGUAAGAUAGUACAAUGGCAUCCCUCAGCUAUUAGAGAUUUAUUGGAUAAGGAUGGCCAUGCAGUAAGAUUAUAUAGUUCGGCGAGGUAACGGCUCACCAAGUCUACUAUCUUUAGGGGCUCUGAGAGGAGAAUCCCCCACACUGGCCCUGAGAUACGGGACAGACUCCUACGGCAGGCACCUGUAGGGAAUAUUGGGCAAUGGGCGGAAGCCUGACCCAANNNNNNNACCCGCAGGAAGACCGCCCUCUGGGUUGUACACUGCUUUUAACUGCGAAGAAAAGAGGCCUUGCGAGGCAAGUUGACUGCCCCCGUUGAAUAAGCCACGGCUAACUACGUGCCAGCACCCGCGGUAAUACGUAGGUGGCGAGCGUUAUCCGGAUUUAUUGGGUUUAAAGGGCAGCGUAGGCGGCUGAUUAACUCAGCGGUGAAAGGUAGCAGCUUAACUGUUUUACAUGCCGUUGAUACUGGCUAGCUUGAGUUGACAGAAGGCAGAUAGAAUUCCUGAUGUAGCGGUGAAAUGCUUAUAUAUCAGGAGGAAUACCGAUUGCGAAGGCAGUCUGCUGCAGUCACACUGACGCUGAGGCUCGAAGGUGCGGCGAUCAAACAGGAUUAGCCACCCUGGUCGUCCGCACAGUAAACGAUGAUUACUAGAUGUUGGCCACGCCAGUGUCCACGGCAAACCGAUAAGUAAUCCACCUGGGGAGUACGCC